UGGUGUGGCUCAAUGGCAGAGCAGCUGAUUUGUAAUCAGCAGGUUGUAGGUUCGACUCCUAUCACC
RNAcentral lists this transfer RNA (66 nucleotides) under human gut metagenome. It matches the Rfam family "tRNA". From Rfam's summary of the family: Transfer RNA (tRNA) molecules are approximately 80 nucleotides in length. Their secondary structure includes four short double-helical elements and three loops (D, anti-codon, and T loops). RNAcentral also lists the same sequence under 1 other name. The record is from RNAcentral.